RNAcentral lists this ribosomal RNA (459 nucleotides) under uncultured bacterium. RNAcentral's name for it is "partial 16S ribosomal RNA". It matches the Rfam family "Bacterial small subunit ribosomal RNA", at positions 338 to 795 of the family's 1533-position model. The record is from RNAcentral.
CCUACGGGCGGCUGCAGUGAGGAAUAUUGGUCAAUGGGAGAGAUCCUGAACCAGCCAAGCCGCGUGAGGGAAGACGGCCCUAUGGGUUGUAAACCUCUUUUGUCGGAGAACAAAACCCGGGACGAGUCCCGGACUGCGUGUAUCCGAAGAAACAGCAUCGGCAAACUCCGUGCCAGCAGCCGCGGUAAUACGGAGGAGGCGAGUGUUAUCCGGAUUUAUUGGGGUUAAAGGGUGGGUAGGCGGUCUCUUAAGUCAGCGGUAAAAUUGCGGGGCGCAACUCCGUCGAGCCGUUGAAACUGGCAGACUUGAGUUGGCGAGAAGUACGCGGAAUGCGCGGUGUAGCGGUGAAAUGCAUAGAUAUCGCGCAGAACUCCGAUGGCGAAGGCAGCGUACCGGCGCCAGACUGACGCUGAGGCACGAAAGCGUGGGGAUCGAACAGGAUUAGAUACCCCAGUAGUC